This 246-nucleotide ribosomal RNA is filed under the name uncultured bacterium. RNAcentral describes it as "partial 16S ribosomal RNA". It matches the Rfam family "Bacterial small subunit ribosomal RNA", at positions 57 to 305 of the family's 1533-position model. The record is from RNAcentral.
GCAAGUCGAGCGGGCGAGGUUGCUUCGGUAACUGAGCUAGCGGCGGACGGGUGAGUAAAGCUUAGGAAUCUGCCUAUUAGUGGGGGACAACAGUUGGAAAGGGAUGCUAAUACCGCAUACGGCCUACGGGAGAAAGCAGGGGACCUUCGGGCCUUUCGCUAAUAGAUGAGCCUAAGUCGGAUUAGCUAGUUGGUGAGGUAAAGGCCUACCAAGGCGACGAUCUGUAGCGGGUCUGAGAGGAUGAUC